CAUGAGUCCAAGGUGCUCCUCCAAGGAACCAGUCGAUGCUGCAACACUGGAGUGAGUUUCGGGUCCGGCCGUACCUCCAUGGAAGGCUCUGGCAGAGCACACAACUGCAUCCAGGCUUUAAAGCAAAUGCUGUUUCCUGAGAAUCAGGAAAACAGCUUGGGGCUGCAUAAAACAAUUCUUAUCCUCCCCAACUCUGAAGCACCAGAUGACCAGGAACCCCAGCCACUGGAGUCCUGCCCUUCACUGUGGCAUCAAGCCAGUUCCGAGCCUCUGCCACGGCCUCAUCUGCUUUCAAAGAAGAUUAAAAACAGACUCACUUGGAUCAGGGACCGCAUGUUGGCAAAGUGUGUGUCCAUAGCACCUCCGUUGGGGAAGUUCUGGCUCAUCCUCUUCAUCAGCAGGUGGAAAUCAAUGCCCAGACUCAGGGGAGCAGGAUGCUCGUUGAACAAAGACAUGAAGAUCAGCCCUACCUUGCCCUGUUGUGACCAAAGUGGUGGUUCCAGCUGACCACGAGGCAGAAGACCAU
Molecule: long non-coding RNA, 526 nt
Organism: Calidris pugnax (ruff)
Lineage: Eukaryota; Metazoa; Chordata; Aves; Charadriiformes; Scolopacidae
Exons: 3
Source: RefSeq, a predicted model, not a curated record